UCCGUUGCGGUCUAGUAGUAAAAAUUUACGGCUCUCACCCGUAACGCCCGGGUUCGAAUCCGGGCAACGGAA
Molecule: transfer RNA, 72 nt
Filed under: Angiostrongylus costaricensis
Lineage: Eukaryota; Metazoa; Nematoda; Chromadorea; Rhabditida; Metastrongylidae
Rfam family: tRNA
About the family: Transfer RNA (tRNA) molecules are approximately 80 nucleotides in length. Their secondary structure includes four short double-helical elements and three loops (D, anti-codon, and T loops).
Source: Rfam by way of RNAcentral